AACGAACGCUGGCGGCGUGGAUAAGACAUGCAAGUCGAACGAGAAUUCAUUUAUAGCAAUAUGGAUGGAUUCUAGUGGCGAAAGGGUGCGUAACACGUGGCCACCUACCUCGAAGUUGGGGAUAGCUCGGCGAAAGCCGGAUUAAUACCGAAUGUGAUCGCAAGAUCAAAGCUGGGGAUCGUAGGACCUGGCGCUUGGAGAUGGGGCUGCGGCCUAUCAGGUAGUUGGCGGGGUAAUGGCCCACCAAGCCUAAGACGGGUAGCUGGUCUGAGAGGACGACCAGCCACACUGGAACUGAGACACGGUCCAGACAUCUACGGGUGGCAGCAGUCGAGGAUUUUUCUCAAUGGGGAAACCCUGAAGGAGCGACGCCGCGUGAGGGAUGAAGGUCUUCGGAUUGUAAACCUCUGUCAUCUGGGAACAAUGUGAUCUACCUAACACGUGGAUCAUUGAUAGUACCGGAAGAGGAAGCAGUGC
This 477-nucleotide ribosomal RNA is filed under the name uncultured bacterium. RNAcentral's name for it is "bacterial SSU rRNA". It matches the Rfam family "Bacterial small subunit ribosomal RNA", at positions 29 to 496 of the family's 1533-position model. The record is from RNAcentral.